RNAcentral lists this ribosomal RNA (253 nucleotides) under uncultured bacterium. RNAcentral describes it as "partial 16S ribosomal RNA". It matches the Rfam family "Bacterial small subunit ribosomal RNA", at positions 524 to 776 of the family's 1533-position model. The record is from RNAcentral.
UACGUAGGUGGCAAGCGUUGUCCGGAAUUAUUGGGCGUAAAGCGCGCGCAGGUGGUCCUUUAAGUCUGAUGUGAAAGCCCACGGCUCAACCGUGGAGGGUCAUUGGAAACUGGGGGACUUGAGUGCAGGAGAGAAGAGUGGAAUUCCACGUGUAGCGGUGAAAUGCGUAGAGAUGUGGAGGAACACCAGUGGCGAAGGCGACUCUUUGGCCUGUAACUGACACUGAGGCACGAAAGCGUGGGGAGCAAACAGG